This is a long non-coding RNA of Gallus gallus (chicken), 1321 nucleotides long. NCBI's taxonomy places the organism in Eukaryota, Metazoa, Chordata, Aves, Galliformes, Phasianidae. The record is from Ensembl.
AUUUGUUCUUCUCUACCUGCUGUCCUACAGCUGUGCACAGUGAUGCUGCACCUGACCGUGCCUCAGCUUCCCCCACAUCAGGCCAUCGCCUCCCUGGCUUGGCAGUGACUGGCACCAGCUUUCCUGAUGUGAGCACUCCUGGGCAGACCAGUACCCACAUGCUUACCAUCCUGAGCAGGCAGUGGCUUCAAUAGCAGUGGGAUGCCCAGCCAUACCCAAUCACUGCCUGAGCUGCAAGACACCUGGACCUUAUGUGUGACAUCACGUCUCCUUUUCCAUCACUACCCAGUUCUCCAUUCCUCUUUCCCUGUAACAGCAAGGCAGCCCAGAUAGCUGGGAGAGCAUGCACCACCAUAGCAGCCAGCAGCGCCCAGCUUUUCCCAGGCUCCUGGCACUCGGUACUGCCCUUACUGCUACUCCACCAUGGGCUCCCCAUGGUGGCUUAUCAGCCACUCCUGUGCAAAGUCCACCAUCUCACCUGCUGCAGAGCUUUCACCUAAAUCCACCACAUUCCCCUCCCAGAAACAGUUGAGGAGUCAUCCCACACUGCUAACCGCCAAGGAGAUAACUUGCAGCAGAGGGGCAGGGUCAGUGGUGCUAUCUAGGAUGACCACAGCUGCCAGGAAUGAUCCCAGCACCUCUCAGCAGUCCCCAGUGAGGAUUAAUUUAAUCAGGCCACGCAUCCCCUUCUAGAUGAUAAAAGCUAUGGGAUGGACCCUGCACUAAAUAGCAGGGACAAGAUGUUACCAAGAAACCCCCCAACUCUCCCCAUAACUCAGGAUGAGGGGCUUGAAGAGAGGAGAGCAAACACUGGGGUCACGGCAGCCCCCCAGACCAAGAGUAUGAGGUGGAGACACCCUACAGCCCCCACACUCCUCCCAAGGCUCAGGCUGGGGGACAUCAGCAGCGCAGCUCCAUGGGCCCAGAAGCCUCCCAGACCCAGGCAUACACUAUAAGUCAUCUCAGCCCAAACCUCCCUCUGCCAGGGCUGUCUCACACAAGAUUUUUCCCUUCCAUCAUCAUUAAUUUGGGUUUCCGGGAGCUCAGAGGCCAGUGGUCUGAUGUCAGCAGGCUUGUCACGAGCAGGUGAGUCACCUCUGACAAACCUGCCCCAGCCUAAGCACCAUUAAUUAGUGCCUCCAGGGCCUGUCCCAGCACUGCCCCACCUCUGACAGAAGCACUGCCCAUGCUGGAAGCGCACACUGAGCAUCACCUGCCAACUGGUGGCACACAGUGAGGUUGGUGAGGUCCACAGCCCAUCUUUACGAAGCAACCAUACAGCACUGGUGCUUCUGCAGCCUGCAGCUUCGUGGCUCUUUCA